RNAcentral lists this non-coding RNA (26 nucleotides) under Homo sapiens (human). Lineage: Eukaryota; Metazoa; Chordata; Mammalia; Primates; Hominidae. The record is from RNAcentral.
UGCCAAAGGAGAUCAAUGGACUGGGA